AUGAGCUAUUGCUGCCGCUCUGCUGAAAUGGCGCCCUCCACCACCACCGGUGCUGUCCCAGUCCCACGGUGUCCUGUUAUCUUCAACGGACAGAACUACAGGGAAUGGGUGCAGCACAUGAAGUUGCACAUGAGGGGCCAGCUGGUCUGGGAGCACCUCUCUGGUGCUCUGCCUUGUCCCUUUCUGCCCACUCCUCCAGCUGAGUUGGCCUUCCCUGUUGAUGCCGAUGAAACCAAGCAACGUGAGAUGCUAGAUGCUUUUGAAGAGGCCACUGAAGAGUAUCAGAAUCGAUUCCACUUGUACAAGCAAUGGAAAAAUGAUGAUGCUCGAGCCUCUUCUAUCUUGGUGAACAACAUGGAUGUUGAUCUCACCAUGGAUGUGGUGGCCCUUACCACUGCAUAUCAGAUGUGGGAGCACCUUCGCCAUCGCUAUGAGUCUACAGGGGAUGCCAUGUAUCUCUCUAUUGUUCGUCAAGAGCAACAACUGUAA
Molecule: ribosomal RNA, 489 nt
Filed under: Triticum aestivum (bread wheat)
Lineage: Eukaryota; Viridiplantae; Streptophyta; Magnoliopsida; Poales; Poaceae
Description: partial small subunit ribosomal RNA
Source: RNAcentral